This 520-nucleotide ribosomal RNA is filed under the name uncultured Methanosarcina sp. RNAcentral describes it as "bacterial SSU rRNA". It matches the Rfam family "Archaeal small subunit ribosomal RNA", at positions 490 to 1009 of the family's 1478-position model. The record is from RNAcentral. Lineage: Archaea; Methanobacteriati; Methanobacteriota; Methanomicrobia; Methanosarcinales; Methanosarcinaceae.
GGUGAUCGUGAUUAUUGGGUCUAAAGGGUCCGUAGCCGGUUUGGUCAGUCCUCCGGGAAAUCUGACGGCUUAACCGUUAGGCUUUCGGGGGAUACUGCCAGGCUUGGAACCGGGAGAGGUAAGAGGUACUACAGGGGUAGGAGUGAAAUCUUGUAAUCCCUGUGGGACCACCUGUGGCGAAGGCGUCUUACCAGAACGGGUUCGACGGUGAGGGACGAAAGCUGGGGGCACGAACCGGAUUAGAUACCCGGGUAGUCCCAGCCGUAAACGAUGCUCGCUAGGUGUCAGGCAUGGCGCGACCGKGUCUGGUGCCGCAGGGAAGCCGUGAAGCGAGCCACCUGGGAAGUACGGCCGCAAGGCUGAAACUYAAAGGAAUUGGCGGGGGAGCACAACAACGGGUGGAGCCUGCGGUUUAAUUGGACUCAACGCCGGACAACUCACCGGGGGCGACAGCAAUAUGUAGGCCARGCUGAAGACYUUGCCUGAAUCGCUGAGAGGAGGUGCAUGGCAAGGGCGAAUU